RNAcentral lists this ribosomal RNA (230 nucleotides) under uncultured microorganism. RNAcentral's name for it is "partial 16S ribosomal RNA". It matches the Rfam family "Bacterial small subunit ribosomal RNA", at positions 524 to 753 of the family's 1533-position model. The record is from RNAcentral.
UACGGGGGGUGCAAGCGUUACUCGGAAUCAUUGGGCGUAAAGGGCGCGCAGGCGGCCUGGUUAGUCAGAUGUGAAAGCCCGGGGCUCAACCCCGGAAGUGCAUUUGAUACUGCCAGACUUGAGUAUGGGAGAGGGAAGUGGAAUUCCUGGUGUAGAGGUGAAAUUCGUAGAUAUCAGGAGGAACACCGGUGGCGAAGGCGACUUCCUGGACCAAUACUGACGCUGAGGCG